AGUGGGGAAUUUUGGACAAUGGGGGCAACCCUGAUCCAGCAAUGCCGCGUGCAGGAAGAAGGCCUUCGGGUUGUAAACUGCUUUUGUACGGAACGAAACGGCUCUGGUUAAUACCCGGGGUUAAUGACGGUACCGUAAGAAUAAGCACCGGCUAACUACGUGCCAGCAGCCGCGGUAAUACGUAGGGUGCGAGCGUUAAUCGGAAUUACUGGGCGUAAAGCGUGCGCAGGCGGUGCUGUAAGACAGGCGUGAAAUCCCCGGGCUUAACCUGGGAAUGGCGCUUGUGACUGCAGUGCUGGAGUGCGGCAGAGGGGGAUGGAAUUCCGCGUGUAGCAGUGAAAUGCGUAGAUAUGCGGAGGAACACCGAUGGCGAAGGCAAUCCCCUGGGCCUGCACUGACGCUCAUGCACGAAAGCGUGGGGAGCAAA
This 427-nucleotide ribosomal RNA is filed under the name uncultured Hydrogenophaga sp. RNAcentral's name for it is "bacterial SSU rRNA". It matches the Rfam family "Bacterial small subunit ribosomal RNA", at positions 353 to 772 of the family's 1533-position model. The record is from RNAcentral. Lineage: Bacteria; Pseudomonadati; Pseudomonadota; Betaproteobacteria; Burkholderiales; Comamonadaceae.